GGACGGGUGAGUAACACGUGGAUAACCUACCUAUAAGACUGGGAUAACUUCGGGAAACCGGAGCUAAUACCGGAUAAUAUUUUGAACCGCAUGGUUCAAAAGUGAAAGACGGUCUUGCUGUCACUUAUAGAUGGAUCCGCGCUGCAUUAGCUAGUUGGUAAGGUAACGGCUUACCAAGGCAACGAUGCAUAGCCGACCUGAGAGGGUGAUCGGCCACACUGGAACUGAGACACGGUCCAGACUCCUACGGGAGGCAGCAGUAGGGAAUCUUCCGCAAUGGGCGAAAGCCUGACGGAGCAACGCCGCGUGAGUGAUGAAGGUCUUCGGAUCGUAAAACUCUGUUAUUAGGGAAGAACAUAUGUGUAAGUAACUGUGCACAUCUUGACGGUACCUAAUCAGAAAGCCACGGCUAACUACGUGCCAGCAGCCGCGGUAAUACGUAGGUGGCAAGCGUUAUCCGGAAUUAUUGGGCGUAAAGCGCGCGUAGGCGGUUUUUUAAGUCUGAUGUGAAAGCCCACGGCUCAACCGUGGAGGGUCAUUGGAAACUGGAAAACUUGAGUGCAGAAGAGGAAAGUGGAAUUCCAUGUGUAGCGGUGAAAUGCGCAGAGAUAUGGAGGAACACCAGUGGCGAAGGCGACUUUCUGGUCUGUAACUGACGCUGAUGUGCGAAAGCGUGGGGAUCAAACAGGAUUAGAUACCCUGGUAGUCCACGCCGUAAACGAUGAGUGCUAAGUGUUAGGGGGUUUCCGCCC
Molecule: ribosomal RNA, 752 nt
Filed under: uncultured Staphylococcus sp.
Lineage: Bacteria; Bacillati; Bacillota; Bacilli; Caryophanales; Staphylococcaceae
Description: bacterial SSU rRNA
Rfam family: Bacterial small subunit ribosomal RNA
Source: RNAcentral